Molecule: ribosomal RNA, 465 nt
Filed under: Vreelandella stevensii
Lineage: Bacteria; Pseudomonadati; Pseudomonadota; Gammaproteobacteria; Oceanospirillales; Halomonadaceae
Description: partial 16S ribosomal RNA
Rfam family: Bacterial small subunit ribosomal RNA
Source: RNAcentral
CCUACGGGGGGCAGCAGUGGGGAAUAUUGGACAAUGGGGGGAACCCUGAUCCAGCCAUGCCGCGUGUGUGAAGAAGGCCCUCGGGUUGUAAAGCACUUUCAGUGAGGAAGAACGCCUGGUGGUUAAUACCCAGCAGGAAAGACAUCACUCACAGAAGAAGCACCGGCUAACUCCGUGCCAGCAGCCGCGGUAAUACGGAGGGUGCGAGCGUUAAUCGGAAUUACUGGGCGUAAAGCGCGCGUAGGUGGCUUGAUAAGCCGGUUGUGAAAGCCCCGGGCUCAACCUGGGAACGGCAUCCGGAACUGUCAAGCUAGAGUGCAGGAGAGGAAGGUAGAAUUCCCGGUGUAGCGGUGAAAUGCGUAGAGAUCGGGAGGAAUACCAGUGGCGAAGGCGGCCUUCUGGACUGACACUGACACUGAGGUGCGAAAGCGUGGGUAGCAAACAGGAUUAGAUACCCUAGUAGUC